RNAcentral lists this ribosomal RNA (392 nucleotides) under uncultured soil bacterium. RNAcentral describes it as "bacterial SSU rRNA". It matches the Rfam family "Bacterial small subunit ribosomal RNA", at positions 26 to 418 of the family's 1533-position model. The record is from RNAcentral.
AGAUUGAACGCUAGCGGGAUGCUUUACACAUGCAAGUCGAACGGCAGCGCGGACUUCGGUCUGGCGGCGAGUGGCGAACGGGUGAGUAAUAUAUCGGAACGUGCCCAGUCGUGGGGGGAUAACGCAGCGAAAGCUGUGCUAAUACCGCAUACGAUCUCUGGAUGAAAGCGGGGGACUCGCAAGGGCCUCGCGCGAUUGGAGCGGCCGAUAUCAGAUUAGCUAGUUGGUGGGGUAAAAGCCCACCAAGGCGACGAUCUGUAGCUGGUCUGAGAGGACGACCAGCCACACUGGAACUGAGACACGGUCCAGACUCCUACGGGAGGCAGCAGUGGGGAAUUUGGACAAUGGGCGAAAGCCUGAUCCAGCAAUGCCGCGUGCAGGAUGAAGGCCUU